Non-coding RNA from Flavobacterium branchiophilum FL-15, 96 nucleotides. NCBI's taxonomy places the organism in Bacteria, Pseudomonadati, Bacteroidota, Flavobacteriia, Flavobacteriales, Flavobacteriaceae. The record is from Rfam.
AAGAGCCGUGUGAAGGGAGACUUUGACUACGUCGAAUUUCAUUUCAAGCACGGUUCUGUGAGAACGUUGGGGUGAAAUUCCCCUGCGUGACUCGAU